Molecule: ribosomal RNA, 572 nt
Filed under: uncultured Glomeromycotina
Lineage: Eukaryota; Fungi; Glomeromycota
Description: SSU rRNA
Rfam family: Eukaryotic small subunit ribosomal RNA
Source: RNAcentral
UUGGAGGGCAAGUCUGGUGCCAGCGGCCGCGGUAAUUCCAGCUCCAAUAGCGUAUAUUAAAGUUGUUGCAGUUAAAAAGCUCGUAGUUGAAUUUCGGGAUUGACGUGAUGGUCAUGCCUUAAGGGGUAUGAACUGUUACAGUUGAUUUCUCACCUUCUGGAGAAACUUGAUGUCCUUUAUUGGGUGUCUUGCGGAUCCAGGACCUUUACCUUGAAAAAAUUAGAGUGUUUAAAGCAGGCAUUUUUGCUCGAAUACAUUAGCAUGGAAUAAUAGAAUAGGACGGCAUGGUUCUAUUUUGUUGGUUUCUAGGAUCACCGUAAUGAUUAAUAGGGAUAGUUGGGGGCAUUAGUAUUCAAUUGUCAGAGGUGAAAUUCUUGGAUUUAUUGAAGACUAACUACUGCGAAAGCAUUUGCCAAGGAUGUUUUCAUUAAUCAAGAACGAAAGUUAGGGGAUCGAAGACGAUCAGAUACCGUCGUAGUCUUAACCAUAAACUAUGCCGACUAGGAAUCAGACGAUGUUAAUUUUUUAAUGACUCGUUUGGCACCUUACGGGAAACCAAAGUGUUUGGGUUC